AUUGAACGCUGGCGGCAUGCCUAACACAUGCAAGUCGAGCGGAUGAAGGUAUCUUGCUCCUGGAUUCAGCGACGGACGCGUGAGUAAUGCCUAUGAAUCUGCCUAGUAGUGGUGGAUAACGUCCGGAAACGGCCGCUAAUACCGCAUACGUACUGAGGGUGCAAGUGGGGGGUCGUCCGACCUCGCUCUACCAGAUGAUCCUGGGUUGGAUUACCUAGUUGGUGGGCGAAAGGCCUACCAAGGCGACGAUCCGUAACUGGUCUGAGAGGAUGAUCAGUGACACUGGGAGAGGAACACGGUCCAGACUCCUACGGGAGGAAGCAGUGGGGAAUAUUGGAAGGUGGGAGAAAGCAUGAUCCAGCCAUGCCGCGUGUGUGAAGAAGGUCUUCGGAUUGUAAAGCACUUGAAGUUGGGAGGAAGGACAGUAAGUUAAUACCUAGCUGUUUUGACGGUACCAACAGAAUAAGCACCGGCUAACUUCGUG
Molecule: ribosomal RNA, 484 nt
Filed under: uncultured bacterium
Lineage: Bacteria
Description: partial 16S ribosomal RNA
Rfam family: Bacterial small subunit ribosomal RNA
Source: RNAcentral